UAAGGAGGAGGUAUAACCUCAUA
Molecule: small nuclear RNA, 23 nt
Filed under: Arabidopsis thaliana (thale cress)
Lineage: Eukaryota; Viridiplantae; Streptophyta; Magnoliopsida; Brassicales; Brassicaceae
Description: snRNA_02227
Source: RNAcentral